GUUAUAUGGUCAAGCGAAUAAGCGCACACGGUGGAUGCCUAGGCGGUCAGAGGCGAUGAAGGACGUGGUAGCCUGCGAAAAGUGUCGGGGAGCUGGCAACAAGCUUUGAUCCGGCAAUAUCCGAAUGGGGAAACCCACUGCUUCGGCAGUAUCCUGCAGUGAAUUCAUAGCUGCUGGAAGCGAACCCGGUGAACUGAAAUAUCUAAGUAACCGGAGGAAAAGAAAUCAACCGAGAUUCCCUAAGUAGUGACGAGCGAACGGGGAGCAGCCCUUAAGCUGGAAUGGCUUUAGAAAAACAAUCUGGAAAGAUUGGCCAUAGAAGGUGAUAGCCCUGUAUUUAAAAGGGCCACUCCAGUGAAGACGAGUAGGGCGGGGCACGUGAAACCCUGUCUGAAUAUGGGGGGACCAUCCUCCAAGGCUAAAUACUCCUGACCGACCGAUAGUGAACCAGUACCGUGAGGGAAAGGCGAAAAGAACCCCGGAGAGGGGAGUGAAAUAGAUCCUGAAACCGUGUGCGUACAAGCAGUAGGAGCUCGCAAGAGUGACUGCGUACCUUUUGUAUAAUGGGUCAGCGACUUACUGUUCGUGGCAAGCUUAACCGUAUAGGGGAGGCGAAGGGAAACCGAGUCUGAUAAGGGCGCAUAGUCGCGGGCAGUAGACCCGAAACCGGGUGAUCUAGUCAUGGCCAGGGUGAAGGUGCCGUAACAGGUACUGGAGGCCCGAACCCACGUCUGUUGCAAAAGACGGGGAUGAGCUGUGAUUAGGAGUGAAAAGCUAAUCGAACCCGGAGAUAGCUGGUUCUCCUCGAAAGCUAUUUAGGUAGCGCCUCAUAUGUAUCCUCUCGGGGGUAGAGCACUGUUAUGGCUAGGGGGUCAUCGCGACUUACCAAACCAUUGCAAACUCCGAAUACCGAGACGGACUGUAUGGGAGACACACGGCGGGUGCUAACGUCCGUCGUGAAAAGGGAAACAACCCAGACCCACAGCUAAGGUCCCAAAUUCACUGCUAAGUGGAAAACGAUGUGGAAAGGCAUAGACAGCCAGGAGGUUGGCUUAGAAGCAGCCACCCUUUAAAGAAAGCGUAAUAGCUCACUGGUCGAGUCGGUCUGCGCGGAAGAUUUAACGGGGCUAAGCAGUGAACCGAAGCUUGGGGUGCAUAAAACUUGUUUUAUGCGCGGUAGAGGAGCGUUCCGUAAGCCUGCGAAGGUGGAUUGAGAAGUCUGCUGGAGGUAUCGGAAGUGCGAAUGCUGACAUGAGUAACGAUAAUGCGGGUGAAAAGCCCGCACGCCGAAAGCCCAAGGUUUCCUUGCGCAACGUUAAUCGACGCAGGGUUAGUCGGUCCCUAAGGCGAGGGCGAAAGCCGUAGUCGAUGGGAAGCAGGUUAAUAUUCCUGCACCUCGCGUGAGUGCGAUGGAGGGACGGAGAAGGUUAGGUGUACCGGGCGUUGGUUGUCCCGGGGAAAGGCGGUAGGUUUGGAUCUUUGGCAAAUCCGGGAUCCUUUAAGACCGAGCACCGAGACGAGCCUUUAUGGCGAAGUCACUGAUACCACGCUUCCAGGAAAAGCUCCUAAGCUUCAGCUCACGAAGACCGUACCGUAAACCGACACAGGUGGGUAGGAUGAGAAUUCUCAGGCGCUUGAGAGAACUCGGGUGAAGGAACUAGGCAACAUGGCACCGUAACUUCGGGAGAAGGUGCACCCUUUUUGGUGGCUCGUGCGAGCUAUAGCUGAAGAGGGUCGCAGAAACCAGGCCGCUGCGACUGUUUAUCAAAAACACAGCACUCUGCAAACACGAAAGUGGACGUAUAGGGUGUGACGCCUGCCCGGUGCUGGAAGGUUAAUUGAUGGGGUCAGCCGCAAGGCGAAGCUCUUGAUCGAAGCCCCAGUAAACGGCGGCCGUAACUAUAACGGUCCUAAGGUAGCGAAAUUCCUUGUCGGGUAAGUUCCGACCUGCACGAAUGGCGUAACGACAGCGGCGCUGUCUCCACCCGAGACUCAGUGAAAUUGAAAUCGCUGUGAAGAUGCAGCGUUCCCGUGGCAAGACGGAAAGACCCCGUGAACCUUUACUAUAGCUUUACACUGAACGUUGAGUUCGUCUGUGUAGGAUAGGUGGGAGGCUAUGAAACUGUGGCGCUAGCUGCAGUGGAGCCAUCCUUGAAAUACCACCCUGUCGUGCUUGACGUUCUAACCUAGGUCCGUUAUCCGGAUCAGGGACCGUGUAUGGUGGGUAGUUUGACUGGGGCGGUCUCCUCCUAAAGAGUAACGGAGGAGCACGAAGGUACGCUCAGCGCGGUCGGACAUCGCGCACUGUGUGCAAAGGCAUAAGCGUGCUUGACUGCAAGAUCGACGGAUCAAGCAGGUACGAAAGUAGGUCUUAGUGAUCCGGUGGUUCUGUAUGGAAGGGCCAUCGCUCAACGGAUAAAAGGUACUCCGGGGAUAACAGGCUGAUACCGCCCAAGAGUUCAUAUCGACGGCGGUGUUUGGCACCUCGAUGUCGGCUCAUCACAUCCUGGGGCUGUAGUCGGUCCCAAGGGUAUGGCUGUUCGCCAUUUAAAGUGGUACGCGAGCUGGGUUCAGAACGUCGUGAGACAGUUCGGUCCCUAUCUGCCAUGGGCGUUGGAAGUUUGAGAGGGGCUGCUCCUAGUACGAGAGGACCGGAGUGGACGAACCUCUGGUGUUCCGGUUGUCACGCCAGUGGCAUUGCCGGGUAGCUAUGUUCGGAAGCGAUAACCGCUGAAAGCAUCUAAGCGGGAAGCGCGCCUCAAGAUGAGACUUCCCGGGGCACAAGCCCCCUAAAGGAACCAUGUAGACUACGUGGUUGAUAGGUCAGGUGUGUAAGUACAGCAAUGUAUUGAGCUAACUGAUACUAAUGAUCCGUGCGGCUUGACCAUAUAACCUCA
This 2897-nucleotide ribosomal RNA is filed under the name Xanthomonas euvesicatoria pv. citrumelonis. RNAcentral describes it as "bacterial LSU rRNA". It matches the Rfam family "Bacterial large subunit ribosomal RNA". The record is from RNAcentral. RNAcentral also lists the same sequence under 1 other name. Lineage: Bacteria; Pseudomonadati; Pseudomonadota; Gammaproteobacteria; Lysobacterales; Lysobacteraceae.